RNAcentral lists this ribosomal RNA (441 nucleotides) under uncultured bacterium. RNAcentral's name for it is "bacterial SSU rRNA". It matches the Rfam family "Bacterial small subunit ribosomal RNA", at positions 28 to 507 of the family's 1533-position model. The record is from RNAcentral.
GAUGAACGCUGGCGAGAUGCCUUACACAUGCAAGUCGUACGGGGAUUUUUAAUUCAAGUGGCGGACGGGUGAGUAACACGUAAGAAUUUGCCUUUAGGAGGGGGACAACAACUGGAAACGAAUGCUAAUACCCCAUAUGCUUUCGAGUGAAAUGGAUUUUAUCCGCCUAGAGAGAAGCUCGCGGCUGAUUAGCUUGUUGGUAAGGUAAGAGCUUACCAAGGCGACGAUCAGUAUCUGGUUUGAGAGGACGAUCAGACACACUGGAACUGAGACACGGUCCAGACUCCUACGGGAGGCAGCAGUGGGGAAUUUUCCGCAAUGGGCGAAAGCCUGACGGAGCAAUACCGCGUGAGGGAAGAAUGCCUAUGGGUUGUAAACCUCUUUUUUCAGGGAGGAAUAAAAUGACGUGUACCUGAAGAAUAAGCAUCGGCUAACUCCGUG